GCACAUUUUUCCUAAAAAGAACUAAUGAAGACGACGAGGCCGCUCUUCAGCAGCAGCCGCCUCAAGGCCCUGGCCCGGUAACGUUACCAAGCUCCAGUCAUGAGCCCAACACACCAGAGUGGGCAGUGUCAGAAACAGAGCCAGGACCCAGUUGUCAAGAGAC
Molecule: long non-coding RNA, 163 nt
Organism: Perca fluviatilis (European perch)
Lineage: Eukaryota; Metazoa; Chordata; Actinopteri; Perciformes; Percidae
Exons: 3
Source: RefSeq, a predicted model, not a curated record